UUCGUAGGCGGUGUGGCAAGUUGGGAGUGAAAUCUCUGGGCUUAACCCAGAGGCUGCUUCCAAAACUGCUGUGCUUGAGUGUGGGAGAGGCGCGUGGAAUUGCAGGUGUAGCGGUGAAAUGCGUAGAUAUCUGCAGGAACACCCGUGGCGAAAGCGGCGCGCUGGACCACUACUGGCGCUGAGGAACGAAAGCUAGGGGAGCAAACAGGAUUAGAUACCCUGGUAGUCCUAGCCCUAAACGAUCGGGACUUGGGGUGCCGCACGUUCGUGCGUCGUCCCGGAGCUAACGCGUUAAGUCCCGCGCCUGGGGAGUACGGUCGCAAGACUGAA
This 330-nucleotide ribosomal RNA is filed under the name uncultured bacterium. RNAcentral describes it as "bacterial SSU rRNA". It matches the Rfam family "Bacterial small subunit ribosomal RNA", at positions 568 to 898 of the family's 1533-position model. The record is from RNAcentral.